RNAcentral lists this ribosomal RNA (428 nucleotides) under uncultured organism. RNAcentral's name for it is "bacterial SSU rRNA". It matches the Rfam family "Bacterial small subunit ribosomal RNA", at positions 355 to 775 of the family's 1533-position model. The record is from RNAcentral.
UGGGGAAUUUUGGACAAUGGGCGAAAGCCUGAUCCAGCCAUUCCGCGUGCAGGAUGAAGGCCCUCGGGUUGUAAACUGCUUUUGUACGGAACGAAAAAGCUCCGGCUAAUACCUGGAGUCCAUGACGGUACCGUAAGAAUAAGCACCGGCUAACUACGUGCCAGCAGCCGCGGUAAUACGAAGGGUGCAAGCGUUAAUCGGACUUACUGGGCGUAAAGCGUGCGCAGGCGGGUUUGUAAGACAGAGGUGAAAUCCCCGGGCUCAACCUGGGAACUGCCUUUGUGACUGCAAGGCUGGAGUGCGGCAGAGGGGGAUGGAAUUCCGCGUGUAGCAGUGAAAUGCGUAGAUAUGCGGAGGAACACCGAUGGCGAAGGCAAUCCCCUGGGCCUGCACUGACGCUCAUGCACGAAAGCGUGGGGAGCAAACAG